Molecule: ribosomal RNA, 451 nt
Filed under: uncultured bacterium
Lineage: Bacteria
Description: partial 16S ribosomal RNA
Rfam family: Bacterial small subunit ribosomal RNA
Source: RNAcentral
GUGGGGAAUAUUGCGCAAUGGGGGAAACCCUGACGCAGCAACGCCGCGUGCGUGAGGAAGGACUUCGGUCGGUAAAGCUCUGUUAAUGUGGAAAAAUGGUAGUUGGUCUAAUAGGCCGAUUAUUUGCUGGUACACAUAGAGGAAGCACCGGCUAACUUCGUGCCAGCAGCCGCGGUAAUACGAAGGGUGCAAGCGUUGUUCGGAUUUAUUGGGCGUAAAGCGCGCGUAGGCGGACCUGCAAGUCAGAUGUGAAAGCUCGGGGCUCAACCUCGAAACGGCGUCUGAAACUACAGGUCUAGAAUCUCGGAGGGGGAAGGGGAAUAUCGCAUGUAGGGGUAAAAUCCGUAGAUAUGCGAUGGAACACCAGAGGCGAAGGCGCCUUCCUGAACGAGUAUUGACGCUGAGGCGCGAAAGCGUGGGGAUCAAACAGGAUUAGAUACCCUAGUAGUCC